This 468-nucleotide ribosomal RNA is filed under the name uncultured bacterium. Its description in RNAcentral is "partial 16S ribosomal RNA". It matches the Rfam family "Bacterial small subunit ribosomal RNA", at positions 28 to 507 of the family's 1533-position model. The record is from RNAcentral.
GACGAACGCUGGCGGCGUGCUUAACACAUGCAAGUCGAACGGAAAGGCCCUGCUUUUGUGGGGUGCUCGGGUGGCGAACGGGUGAGUAACACGUGAGUAACCUGCCCUUGACUUUGGGAUAACUUCAGGAAACUGGGGCUAAUACCGGAUAGGAGCUCCUGCUGCAUGGUGGGGGUUGGAAAGUUUCGGCGGUUGGGGAUGGACUCGCGGCUUAUCAGCUUGUUGGUGGGGUAGUGGCUGACCAAGGCUUUGACGGGUAGCCGGCCUGAGAGGGUGACCGGCCACAUUGGGACUGAGAUACGGCCCAGACUGCUACGGGGGGCAGCAGUGGGGAAUAUUGCACAAUGGGCGGAAGCCUGAUGCAGCAACGCCGCGUUCGGGAUGACGGCCUUCGAGUUGUAAAACGCUUUCGCCUGUGACGAAGCGUGAGUGACGGUAAUGGGUAAAGAAGCACCGGCUAACUACGUG